ACUCAAAUGAAUAGACGGGGGCCCGCACAAGCGGUGGAACAUGUGGUUUAAUUCGAAGCUACGCGAAAAACCUCACCAGGGCUUGACAUACAGGAAGUAGCGAAAUGAAAGUGGAGCGACCCGUUAAGUCGGGAGCCUGAACAGGUGCUGCAUGGCUGUCGUCAGCUCGUGUCGUGAGAUGUUGGGUUAAGUCCCGCAACGAGCGCAACCAUUAUCCUUUGUUGCCACUUAUAUCGAGCUUGCUCGGUAUGAAGCACUCUAAGGAGACUGCCUGGGAUAACCAGGAGGAAGGUGGAGAUGACGUCAAGUCAGUACGGCCUUUAUGCCCUGGGCUACACACGUGUUACAAUGGACGGUACAAAGGGUUGCCAACCCGCGAGGGGGAGCUAAUCUCAAAAAACCGUCCCCAGUUCAGAUCGGAGUCUGCAAAUCGACUCCGUGAAGCCGGAAUCGCUAGUAAUGGUAGAUCAGCACGCUACCGUGAAUACGUUCCCGGGCCUUGUACACACCGCCCGU
This 516-nucleotide ribosomal RNA is filed under the name uncultured bacterium. RNAcentral's name for it is "partial 16S ribosomal RNA". It matches the Rfam family "Bacterial small subunit ribosomal RNA", at positions 899 to 1397 of the family's 1533-position model. The record is from RNAcentral.